RNAcentral lists this long non-coding RNA (6050 nucleotides) under Linum usitatissimum (flax). RNAcentral describes it as "long non-coding RNA (LUSI_LNC005638)". The record is from RNAcentral. Lineage: Eukaryota; Viridiplantae; Streptophyta; Magnoliopsida; Malpighiales; Linaceae.
AGGUUCCCCCUUCAUCUUUCCUUUCCAGAGAUGGAGACCUUCCCCAGCUGCUCCAUUGAUCUCGGAGUUAACUCCGUCCGGAUCAACAUCGAUCAUGGUUGAUCCAUCUCCAAUUUUAAAUAAUCGAAUAAACCCCCCUAUCGAAUAGAAUUUCUGGGACGCGCUAGCACCUCCCUCUCGAUUCAUCUCUUAGUAAAUAUCGUCAGCUACUGUUAUGAAAGUUCCGACGACGGCUAUGGAUGCACCAAGGUCGACGAAAUCGUUGCAGCUCUCCCUAACUCGCCUUCUCGUGUCAAAACCCUUUCAGCUCCAGGAAUUGAAUCGUAGUUUCGUCGGAUCUCAACAGUUGUUGUCACCUGUGAAAUGAAGUGAAGAACACACGGCGUCAAGGAAGACCGUUGGUCAACGUCGAGAAUGAAGAAGAGAAGAUUUAAUGAAACGACGAGUUUAGAGCUUUCCGUUUAUUUCCGUUUGUGUUUUAACGUUGAUGUAUGAAACGGGGACACGUGUUUUUACCCGCGUUUCUUAUUACACUUUUACUGUUGAAGUUACCGUUGGGUUUUAGUAUAAAAACCCAACCAAUGGAAUAAACCAACUCAGGCUUUCAGACCCAUUCUAUCUUCUUCCUUCUUCUCUGCAUUUUCUUCCGUACAGCUUCUUCUUCAUUCAUCCAUUCUUACAUCCUUCAAUCAUCUUAAUAUGGUAUCAGAGCGGGUUUUAUCGAUCUAGAACUACACGAUGACUCGAAGUCAGGAUGAUGAUGAAGAUGAUGAUGAACAGACCAAUAAUCAGCAUACUUCAGGAUUCACCUUUGGAUCCGUUGGAAAAUGUUCAUCGCACUAGGGAAGCUUCAUCUAUGGCAACAGCUAAUAUGACCUUUGGUAAUCCUUAUUACCUCAAUCCAAAUGAAAAUCUAUCUCAAUCUAUAGUUAAUACAGUGCUAGAUGGAUCGAACUAUCAAAUGUGGAGUAGAUCCGUGAGGUUUGCUUUAAAAACUAAGCAUAAGGUUGGUUUCAUUGACGGAUCUAUAGUUCCUCCUGCUCCUGCUAGUGAUAGAUACUCUCUGUGGGAUGCUUGCAAUACUAUGGUGCUUUGCUGGAUUGCAAACUCAUUGCAUCCAGAAAUACGUAGAAGCGUAUUAAACCACGAAAAUGCUCAGAUUCUGUGGCAAGAGCUUAAACGCAGGUUUGGACAGGCAAACGCCUUGAAAAUGGCUAAUCUACAGGAUGAAAUUCAUGGAUGUAAACAAGGACAAAUGUCUGUGACUCAAUACUAUACGGUGAUUAAGGGACUCUGGGAAGAAUAUAGCCAAUUCUCACCCAUAGUUCCCUGCAGUUGUGCACCAGCUAAUGUGUUGCCUUGUGCAGCAGUGGUAGCAUUCCAGGAGAAGCAAGACACUGAUUACUUGAUUCGAUUCCUUAGAGGACUGAACGAAGAUUUUGAUGUAGUCAGGACUCAAUUGUUGAUGAUGACACCACUGCCUAGUGUCAGUUCAGCUUAUGCUCAUGCUCUCCAGCAUGAAGAGAAGUUAAAAGGUGGUAUGAUGAUUGGAAAGGAAAAUGUUAACCAGAAUGUGGCAUUUGCAGUUCCAUCGGAGAUUGAUGGAAGGAUGAUCAUGGCUGCUAGUUCUGGAAAUUCCAGGGAUUAUAAUCAAGCUGGGAAAAAGUUUUGUAGGUAUUGUAAGAAGGAAGGCCACAUUCUGGAUGAAUGCAGAAGGUGGGAGUGGAAGAAACAAAAAGAACAAAAUGUCCAGAAUGCGAAUAGCAACUCAUCUAACAGCAACUCAUCAUCUUCAAAUCAUUUUGCUGGAGCUGUGGACCACCAACCAGCUCCAACCGUUGCAGCUGCUCUUUCAUUAACCAAUGCUGAGCUGACUCAGCUGAAACAACUGCUACAAUCAGUCCAGCAAUCCAAAGCCACCAACUCAGGACCAGGAAUUUCAGCUCUUCCAAAUGACUCAGGUAAGUUUACUUUGUCAGCUGGUUCAUGUCCUGAUUUAGCUGAUUUGUGGAUAUUGGAUACUGGAGCUUCUGAUCACGUAACGUGCUCCCUUAAACACUUCAUUUCUUACAAAUCCGUCGUUGGAGUCAAUGUUUUUCUUCCUGACUCUUCUCCCAUGUCUGUCACUCAUGUUGGUAGUGUUAGACUUCCUCAUGGUCAAGUUAUUCACAACGUUCUGUGUGUUCCAACUUUUCACUUCAAUCUAGUCUCAGUCAGUAAGCUAACCUCUCAUCUUCCUGUUUCACUGACCUUUCAAUCCAACAAUUGUCAGCUCCAAGAUCUCACAACAGGCAAGACGAUUGGUUUAGCCGUUCAGACUAGAGGGCUUUAUCACCUCCAGCCUACUGACAAACACAUUUCAUCAUCUCUCUCUCAACCUCUUCCUUCCAGACCUCGAGUAGCAGUUAGUCACAAUUACAAACCAGAAGAAAUCAGUCUCUGGCAUUGGAGAAUGGGACAUCCUAGUGCUGAGAAAUUGAAGCUUUUACAUAGUCAUGACCAUAAUGUUGCUCCUGAAACUUUGUCUCAUUGUUCUGUUUGUCAUCUUUCCAAACAUAAACGCCUUCCUUUCCAUAGUAGUCAGACUGCAGUUUCUGCUAUUUUUGAUCUUAUUCAUGUUGACAUUUGGGGUCCUUUAUCCACUGAAUCACAUGAUGGUUUCCUAUAUUUCCUCACUAUUGUUGAUGACUAUUCUCGAGGGGUAUGGACUUACUUAAUGAAAUACAAAUCUGAGACACGAACAUUGCUGCAAUCUUUCUGCAACAUGGUUUGUACACAGUUCAAAACUAAAGUCAAAAUGAUAAGAAGUGAUCAAGGCAAAGAAUUUCAUAUGUCUGAUUUCUAUUCUGAGCAUGGUAUAAUCCAUCAAAUGUCUUGUGUCCAAACUCCACACCCGAAUGCCAAAGUAGAACGAAAACACCAGCACAUUUUGAAUGUUGCAAGAGCUUUACAGUUUCAAUCUGGCCUUCCCUGUGUCCAAACACCACAGCAGAAUGCCAAAGUAGAACGAAAACACCAGCACAUUUUGAAUGUUGCUCGAGCUUUACAGUUUCAAUCUGGUCUUCCUCUGAUAUAUUGGAGUGAUUUUGUGCUUCAUUCUGUAUACUUAAUUAAUCGAACUCCUUCUUCUGCUAUCCAAGACAAAACUCCCUUUGAACUUCUUUACAAUCAAACUCCUUCCUUGACUCAUAUUAAGGUUUUUGGCUGUUUAGCUUAUGCUGCUACACUAUCUCACAAUCGAGGAAAAUUUCAACCUCGUGCUAGGCAAAGUGUGCUUCUAGGCAUUCCUUCCCAUAUUAAAGGAUAUAAGUUACUUGAUCUUACUACAUAUACUGUUUUUAUAUCCAGGGAUGUUGUUUUCUAUGAAAACAUAUUUCCUUUCAAAUCUCAUGAUGUAUCUUCUAGUACUCCUCUCGAGUCAGAAAUUUUAGUUCCACCUCCUGUACCUGAGCCAAUUCCUGUUGAUCUAUCUUCUCAGUCUCCUUUUAAAUUCACUGAACGUCCUAGUCCAUCUCAAUCCUCAGUAUCAGUAGCUCCAGAUACAAAUUCACAUGUCACUGAUCGUUCAUGCCAGUUGCAGGGUACUCUUUCUGAUAGUGAGGAAGAGAUGGUUUUCUCUGAUCCUGAGUUUCAUCCAGCAGGGGAGGGACAGCAGCCCGUUCUGCUGGAUGUCAGGACUUCUACCAGGGCACGUCGUCCUCCUGUGCAUUUACAAGACUAUCACUUGAAUGCUAAUGUUACCAAGCAUUCACUUGCUUCUGUGGUUUCAUAUGACAGUCUCUCUGAUCAUUUUCGUAGAUUUGCUUUGAAUGUGAUAGUCCAGCAGGAACCAAAGAAUUAUAAAGAAGCUAUGACAGAUCCACACUGGAAUGUUGCUGUUCAAAGUGAAUUAGGAGCGCUCAAUGAAAAUCAUACAUGGGAUAUAGUUCCAGAUUCAGAAGAAUUCCAUAAGUUGGGAACAAAAUGGGUUUUCAAGUUGAAAUUGAAAUCUGAUGGCAGUGUAGAACGACAUAAAGCGAGAUUGGUAGCUCAGGGAUUUGAUCAGAUACAAGGUAUUGAUUUUGUGGAUACUUUCUCACCAGUAGCCAAGAUCAAUACUGUCAAAGUUUUAUUGGCAAUAGCUGCAGCUCAAGGUUUACACCUAGAGCAAAUGGAUGUAUCGAAUGCGUUUUUACAUGGAGAUCUGAAUGAGGAUGUUUAUCUGAAAAUUCCAUCUGGAUUGAAUGCACCACCAGGUAUGUGUUUGAAACUCAGAAAAUCCCUUUAUGGACUGAAACAAGCCAGCAGACAAUGGUUUGCUAAGCUCACUGGUGCUUUGUUGGAAUAUGGUUUUACACAAACCAGUUCUGAUUAUUCAUUAUUUGUUAAGGGUGAUGAACAUUCACUAGUCAUACUCUUAGUAUAUGUGGAUGAUAUAAUUCUGGCUGGAAGGCAUUUGACACGAAUCAAGGAAGUGAAAGACUAUUUACAUCAGCAAUUUAAGAUAAAGGAUCUAGGAGAGCUUCGAUACUUUCUGGGGCUUGAAAUUGCCCGUUCAAAAGCUGGAAUUGUGAUGAAUCAGAGGAAGUAUUGUAUUGAAUUACUUACAGAUACUGGAUUUUUAGAGGCUAAAGGGUGUAAAAGUCCCAUGGAAGUCAAUCUCAGGUUGAGUGCAAAGCAAGGUGAUCCUUUAGAUGACCCUUCUAUGUACAGAACUUUGGUUGGAAGGUUACAUUACCUGACCAUCAUGAGACCAGACAUAACAUUUGCAGUUCAGCAACUCAGUCAAUUCCAGAAUGAGCCUUACAGUGUGCAUUUGGAAGCAGCUCAUCGUGUGUUGAGAUAUUUGAAAUCAUCGCCAGCUCAAGGGUUGAUGUAUAAGUCGUGUAAUGAGCUGGUGUUGACUGGUUACUGUGAUUCAGAUUGGGCAGCCUGCACAGAUACUAGGAGAUCAAUUUCUGGAUAUUGUACAUAUCUUGGUGGUUCAUUAGUUACUUGGAGAUCAAAGAAGAAGGGACAGUAUCCAGAUAAUAGCUUUCGUAACGAAUUUAAAUUUACAUUAUUCUAUUGAUUUAUAGCCGAUAAUAGCUGAAUUAGACUUAAUUUCUAUGUCCUAUUUGGUUUUCAAUAACAAAAAUUUGGUAAGAAAUUCAAUCGAUUGAAAUGUUCUUAGCGGUCAGAUUGGUGAUAUAGAAUUCAUCUCAACCUAGUUGGUUAAAGGCUCUGCCCAAUUUUCUCGGACGUCACAUGUUCGAAUAGUAGCUCUAGCUUUUAAUUUCGUUUUAAUUUUCUUACAGCAGUAGCUAAAACGACGUAGUUUCAAAGAAUGGAGACUCGCUCUAAUCAAACGAUGGCGUUGCGAUUUGUGUUGCUGAUGUGAGCAAUGAGAUCAGGUUCCCCCUUCAUCUUUCCUUUCCAGAGAUGGAGACCUUCCCCAGCUGCUCCAUUGAUCUCGGAGUUAACUCCGUCCGGAUCAACAUCGAUCAUGGUUGAUCCAUCUCCAAUUUUAAAUAAUCGAAUAAACCCCCCUAUCGAAUAGAAUUUCUGGGACGCGCUAGCACCUCCCUCUCGAUUCAUCUCUUAGUAAAUAUCGUCAGCUACUGUUAUGAAAGUUCCGACGACGGCUAUGGAUGCACCAAGGUCGACAAAAUCGUUGCAGCUCUCCCUAACUCGCCUUCUCGUGUCAAAACCCUUUCAGCUCCAGGAAUUGAAUCGUAGUUUCGUUGGAUCUCAACAGUUGUUGUCACCUGUGAAAUGAAGUGAAGAACACACGGCGUCAAGGAAGACCGUUGGUCAACGUCGAGAAUGAAGAAGAGAAGAUUUAAUGAAACGACGAGUUUAGAGCUUUCCGUUUAUUUCCGUUUGUGUUUUAACGUUGAUGUAUGAAACGGGGACACGUGUUUUUACCCGCGUUUCUUAUUACACUUUUACUGUUGAAGUUACCGUUGGGUUUUAGUAUAAAAACCCAACCAAUGGAAUAAACCAACUCAGGCUUUCAGACCCAUUCUAUCUUCUUCCUUCUUCUCUGCAUUUUCUUCCGUACUGCUUCUUCCUCAUUCUAUCUUCUUCCG